Molecule: ribosomal RNA, 293 nt
Filed under: uncultured bacterium
Lineage: Bacteria
Description: partial 16S ribosomal RNA
Rfam family: Archaeal small subunit ribosomal RNA
Source: RNAcentral
GUGCCAGCCGCCGCGGUAAUACCGGCAGCCCGAGUGAUGGCCGAUCUUAUUGGGCCUAAAGCGUCCGUAGCUGGCCGCGCAAGUCCAUCGGAAAAUCCACCCGCCCAACGGGUGGGCGUCCGGUGGAAACUGUGUGGCUUGGGACCGGAAGGCGCGACGGGUACGUCCGGGGUAGGAGUGAAAUCCCGUAAUCCUGGACGGACCACCGGUGGCGAAAGCGCCUCGAGAGGACGGACCCGACGGUGAGGAACGAAAGCCAGGGUCUCGAACCGGAUUAGAUACUCGUGUAGUCC